CAUAGUCAUGGCUCUUUUAGAAUUUGUCUAGUGGGUUUUCUGGUGAAAACUAGACUGCCCCC
Molecule: small nuclear RNA, 62 nt
Organism: Cebus imitator (Panamanian white-faced capuchin)
Lineage: Eukaryota; Metazoa; Chordata; Mammalia; Primates; Cebidae
Gene: U7
Rfam family: U7 small nuclear RNA
About the family: Animal histone pre-mRNAs are spliced by a different mechanism than nuclear pre-mRNAs and self-splicing introns. This processing involves the U7 snRNP, which contains only one RNA species: U7.
Source: Ensembl